AUGUCCAGCACUGUGUCCCCAAAAGUCCCCUCCGCGAGCUCCUCCGCGGACCAGAGGACCGUCGUCGUGGGGGCAUUUUGUUGUCUGGUGUUUUUCUUCAUGAUCGUGGUGCUGCUGUUGAUCCUGUACCGGAAGGUUCCUCUCUGCUGCAAAAUGAGGGCUCUUCAGGAAUCUCGUACUGACAUGGAAUCUCCUCCUCAGUACUACAACAGCAGACAGACUCUUGUAGCUUCUUCUGAUGUGGAGCAAACACAUGACAGCGGUCUUGAUAACGUGAAUGCACGGUCGGGCUCGUUGUUCCUGAUCGGUGUGCCGAGCAGCUACUACCUUUCCCCGCUGGAGCCUCCUCUUCCUCGUCUGCCCUCGUACGAGAGCGUCCGCAAGAAAGACCGCCAGCGGCAGAUCCACAUGAUGAUAGCCGACCGCUUCGGCCUGAGCGGAUCAGUCGAGACAGAGGUCAGACAGUUUUUGUUCAUGCAGCUUUCAUGACCUUGUUUGACUAGAUGAAGUUAAUGGCUUUACUGAAAAAUGGAUGAUGACUUCUCAAAACAUACACUUAUGCAUGUAUUCAAAUAUGAACACACAAUUGUUACGAUGAAAACACAUUGGCAUCAUCCACUCGAAGCUCUCAGAUGUCACUCUGCUAAAACCCUGCUAUGAUAACAGUGUCGUCUCUCAGCAGCUGCAGUCUGACUGAAUAUAAUAACAAUAGAGUUUUAAUAUGAAUGACCCACAGUUUUCUGUUCCGUAACAUGAUCGUAUCUGAGAAGCGGACACAUUCACUGCCACACAGACCUCACCUGCGCUGCUGCGAGCGCUUCAAGGCCCUGCGAUGUUGACUUAGCGCCAGGAAAACGCAUGAGUACACACGCUAAUGGGAAUUGAUGCACAUCAAACAUUAUAAAGCGGUCUAUUUCCAAAGGUAAACAUUAGUGGAGAAUACGGCUCAUUGUCCGUCUGUCCUCUCCUUUACUCCCAGGAUUCACUGGGGGGAUCGUUCACUCAUUAACCCUAUUAUUGAGCUUAAUUAGCUGCUUCUCCAGCUGGGCGCCGCGGUGUUGUCUGCUUUAAAAUGGCUGGUUUUUUUUAGAAGCCUAAAGGGCAGACGCCGAGCUCAAAGCUUAUGAGAAAGAAGAACCAAAGAGAGAAAAAAAUGGCUAGAGGAAGUUUCUGCAAAGUGAUAUCGCCAACUAAAUUUGUUUAAAUAAAUGUCGAGCUCUGUAUUGUGAAUUAACGUAGUGCAGAGGUCUUUCUCUUUGGGAAUAUAUUCACUUGAUAAGCAUUAUCAAUGUUAAAUAAAUAAUAAUAGAAGCAUACGAGGAAACUAGAUUUUUAUGUUUUCUACUGAAGAUGUUCUCAAGAAAUAGAAAAGGUUGUGGGUUCGAUUCCCCGGGAACACAUGAUAGGUUUGCUUAAAGGGAUAGUUCACCCGAAAAUAAAAAUGUGCUGGAAAUGUAUACUCCGCCUCAAGCCGUCUAAGAUGUAGAUGAGUUUGUUUUUUCAUCAGAACAGAUUUGUAGAAAUGUAUCAUUACAUCACUUUCUCAGCAAAGGAUCCUGGAAGUGGAAGUGAACGGGUGCCGUCAGAAUGAGAUCCACACCAUAAUCCACACCACAUAAUUUCAACACACAGUGAAAGUGUUUAACUUCUAACCAUUGUAUCUUUCGAGAAUACGAGUCCCUUAUGAAUAAUAUUUGGUUCUCCAGUAAAAAGGCAUCUUGUCUGCAUCAGGAGAGAAAUAUUCUCAAACACAGUUUACAAGAGAAAACUGAAACACAUAUUUAAUCAGCUGUUUGGAUUGUCAUUCUGACGGCACCCAUUCACUGCAGAGGAUCCACUACAUUUCUCCAAACCUGUUCUGAAGAAACACACAUCUACAUCUUGUAUUGCCUGAGUAUUUUCAAUCUGAGUACUUUCAGCAAAUACACAUAUCUGAGUAAACCAUUCCUUUAGGAGAUUAGAGGAGUCCUGCCACAAAUAAUAACUAAACCGACAUUUUGAUUAAACACACACAAAAGUGAUAUGCAAAAUGGAGGAGUGCGCCUGAGGUAUUUUUCUAGUGCAAGCUGUUGAUUUGUGGUGUUAUAAGUCAAGCUUUAUCUCUGUUCUUGUUUUUCUUUUACACAGCCGCCUCCCACAUAUGAGGAGAGCAUUCGUGAGUCCGUCCAGGGCAUUGAUGUCCCGUUUGACAUCCUGGCACCCGCGGAGGAGCUUACAGUCCCAGACACAGAUUUACCUGCAUAUGAAGAUCUACCUCAAAUCACAGACUCACAGGACCCCAGUCACACUGUUAAUUAAAGCACAAGAACACGAUCGGCAGCUGUUGAGCUGUCACUAGCCUGACGAGCAGCCGCUCUGCUUGCAAAAGACACCGAAAUAGGGACGGACUUGACCUAUGCAAUAACUUGCACAAGCACAAGACGAGAGGAGGAGGAUGUUGCAUCACUACUGGAAAAAGGGAAGAGAAGAACAAGAAUAUGCAAGAGUUUAAGUUCUGUCGCUGUUAAAAAAUGACAUGAAACUUCUACUUUAUAGAACUAUAAGGAUUGUAGAUAUUUCCAAGCCUCAACAUUACAUCACGUCCCAUGAUAUUAUUACAUUUAUACAUAAGUGGGGAAUGUUGAUUUCAUUUUGAUUAAAAAAAAUGUUGUUGUUUUUUCUUUUUGGGGGGGGAAUAACAUCCAUUUAUGAAAAAUAACACUAGUGACAUCUAUUAUAACCAUAAAUAAAGUCUAUCUUGAUUUCAUGUUGAAGUUCAUCUAAAACCAAAGUAGCAGCUGGUGUACUGUACUGACCUAAAGCACACAAAUAAUGAAGAUUUGAAGCCAUGUUUUUGUACAUUACGGGGAAAUUGUAUCACUAUUUUAGGCAGACGAGUUUUAAUUCAAUCCUGUUUUUAAACAAACUGCUCAUUUUUUUUUGUGUACAUGUUCCUUGUCGGACCAAAUGAUACUUUGCUGCGAUUCUAUUUGUUGAAUCUCUCUUUUUUUUAAAUAACCUUUUAUGAAUGCGCUCGAUUGUAUCACUGUGAAUAAAGAUGUUAAAUGUACAGUUUGCAGAAGUAAUACUAGACUUGGACUUGUUUCUUCUGAGAUUGGGUCACACUGAAUCAUCGGAUUUUCCUCGGUUUCUUCCCUUUACUGUCAAUACUCUACUCAGAGCAUAUGAUUUCAGAUACGUGUGCAUUCAAAUUCAAAUGGCUUGAAAGCAGUUUGAUGUGUAACAAGUUUGAGGUCACAGGUGUCCUCAUUUCCCUCUGAACACGCAUUUGCAUCUUUCAAAAACUACAUGAGAUAUAUUUUCCCUAGGGCACAAGAAUAAACCAGAUUUGAGAGGUUGUGCUGCGCUCUAAUAUAGUCACGGCUAAAUGAAACUGCAAUAAUAUCUUACCUGUUACUAUUUUAUAUAUUUAGCAUGUUAGACUUUAUUGACCAUGAAUCAACAGGAGAUCCACUCAAUGAUUAACCCACAUGGGAUUCACAUGUCUAACAAAACUGAGUGUUGAUUAAAAGAUCACUAAAAGAUGCAUUCAGUUGAUCAAAGUAAAUACAGAUGCAUAUUGUAACAAUUUUCUAUAAAAAAAAAAAUAAAAAAAAAAAAAAUAUAUAUAUAUAUAUAUAUAUAUAUAUAUAUAUAUAUAUAUAUAUAUAUAUAUAUAUAUAUAUAUAUAUAUAUAUUGAACUCUAUUUAUCAAAAAAAUACUUAAUGCAUCAUGUUUUCCAUAAAAAUAUAAAA
Carassius auratus (goldfish) is the source of this 3735-nucleotide long non-coding RNA. NCBI's taxonomy places the organism in Eukaryota, Metazoa, Chordata, Actinopteri, Cypriniformes, Cyprinidae. The record is from Ensembl.